Molecule: ribosomal RNA, 453 nt
Filed under: uncultured bacterium
Lineage: Bacteria
Description: bacterial SSU rRNA
Rfam family: Bacterial small subunit ribosomal RNA
Source: RNAcentral
AGUGAACGCUGGCGGCAUGCCUAACACAUGCAAGUCGAACGAAGGCUUCGGCCUUAGUGGCGCACGGGUGCGUAACGCGUGGGAAUCUGCCCUUGGGUUCGGAAUAACUCAGAGAAAUUUGAGCUAAUACCGGAUGAUGACGUAAGUCCAAAGAUUUAUCGCCCAAGGAUGAGCCCGCGUAAGAUUAGCUAGUUGGUGGGGUAAAGGCCUACCAAGGCGACGAUCUUUAGCUGGUCUGAGAGGAUGAUCAGCCACACUGGGACUGAGACACGGCCCAGACUCCUACGGGAGGCAGCAGUGAGGAAUAUUGGUCAAUGGGGGCAACCCUGAACCAGCCAUGCCGCGUGGAGGAAGAAGGCCCUAAGGGUUGUAAACUUCUUUUGUACGGGGGUAAACUCUUCUACGAGUAGGAGAUUGAAAGUACUGUACGAAUAAGCAACGGCUAACUCCGUG